RNAcentral lists this ribosomal RNA (253 nucleotides) under uncultured bacterium. RNAcentral describes it as "partial 16S ribosomal RNA". It matches the Rfam family "Bacterial small subunit ribosomal RNA", at positions 524 to 776 of the family's 1533-position model. The record is from RNAcentral.
GACGAAGGUGGCGAGCGUUGUUCGGAAUCACUGGGCAUAAAGCGCACGUAGGUGGUGUCGUAAGUCGGGUGUGAAAUCCCUCGGCCUAACCGAGGAACUGCGCCCGAUACUGCGAUGCUUGAGGAUCAGAGGGGUGCAUGGAAUUUCCGGUGGAGCGGUGAAAUGCGUUGAUAUCGGAAGGAACGCCGGCGGCGAAAGCGAUGCACUGGCUGAUUUCUGACACUGAGGUGCGAAAGCCAGGGGAGCAAACGGG